GUUUCCUCGCAUACAUUACCAUCAAUGCCCGGCCUAGUCGUCCUUGUCUACUCCACUACCAAAUGUUGAAGUUCUUCAAGAAUCAGUCCUUUGGAGGUGAUGUCAUUGAAAAUGAUGAGUAGGAAACUCCAAGAGCGCAUUUCUCCACAAAACCAGUGAAUACAUUGGCACAAAUUGUCAGAAUCAAUUUUAUAUAAAUUCUGGAAAUUAGUCAAAGGUUUAUAGUAACCAAGGAAACAUCUUUUUAAAAAGAUGGCUGAGGCUGGAUGCUGUGGCUUAUACCUGUAAUCCCAGCACUUUGAGAGGCCAAGGCGAGCAGAGCAUUUGAGUCAGGAGUUAGAGACCAGCAAAAAAAUUAGCUGGGUGUGUUUGCGGGCACCUGUAAUCCCUCAGGGAGGCUGAGGCAGGAGAAUCGCUUGAACCUGGAAGAUGGAGGUUGCAGUGAGCCAAGAUCGUGCCACCUCACUCCAGCCUGGGUGAUAGAGUGAGACUCUGUCUCAAAAAAAAAAAAAAAAAAAAGUCUGAAUCCUGAAUCUCAGGAGCGCUUUCUAUCAUUUAAACUUACCCUGGUGCCACCUCCCUGUCCAGCUUUGAAAACAACGACAUGCAUUUCUGAUAUCUGUUCCUGGUGCCAAAGGGAGCAGGAUGGCCUUGUUUUCUUUUCUUCUUUCUUUUUUUUUUUUGAGAUGGAGUUUUGCCCGUGUUGCCCAGGCUGGAGUGCAGUGG
Molecule: long non-coding RNA, 726 nt
Filed under: Homo sapiens (human)
Lineage: Eukaryota; Metazoa; Chordata; Mammalia; Primates; Hominidae
Description: non-protein coding WAC-AS1:10
Source: RNAcentral